AUUGAACGCUGGCGGCAGGCCUAACACAUGCAAGUCGAGCGGAGCGGCGGACGGGUGAGUAAUGCCUAGGAAUCUGCCUGGUAGUGGGGGAUAACGUCCGGAAACGGGAGCUAAUACCGCAUACUAUCAGAUGAGCCUAGGUCGGAUUAGCUAGUUGGUGGGGUAAAGGCCUACCAAGGCGGCGAUCCCUAGCUGGUCUGAGAGGAUGACCAGCCACACUGUAACUGAGAACCGGUCCAGACUCCUACGGUAGGCAUGCGUGGGGAAUAUUGCACAAUGUGCGCAAGCCUGAUGCAGCCAUGCCGCGUGUAUGAAGAAGGCCUGCGGGUUGGAAAGUACUUUCAGCGGUGAGGCGUUACCCGCAGAAGAAGCACCGGCUAACUCCGUGCCAGCAGCGGCGGUAAUAC
Molecule: ribosomal RNA, 407 nt
Filed under: uncultured bacterium
Lineage: Bacteria
Description: partial 16S ribosomal RNA
Rfam family: Bacterial small subunit ribosomal RNA
Source: RNAcentral